GUGCUCGCUUUGGCAGCACUACACUAAAAUUGGAAGGAUACAGAGAAGAUUAGCAUGGACCCUGCGCAAGGAUGACAUGCAAAUUUAUGAAGCGUUUCAUAUUUUU
This 106-nucleotide small nuclear RNA is filed under the name Octodon degus (degu). The record is from RNAcentral. Lineage: Eukaryota; Metazoa; Chordata; Mammalia; Rodentia; Octodontidae.